UUUUUCUAACUCACGUGCUCUUCCCCUCUCUCUCUCUCUCUCCCUCACCCGAUCGACCAGCUGCUGCUCCUUAUCUCUUCCCCCCCCCCCCCCUCUCUCAACCUUAUCUCUGGGUGAUGGCUGUGGCUUCGGGGCUGAUGGCUGCGUGAAGGUUUGAUUGGGUUUCUGGUGGGUUGGUGGGCGAGGAGGUUGGAUCUUGGCGGGGUUCCAAGAAGCCGGAUUGCGCCGCUGCUAGGGCUGCUGGGACUGGGAAGGAAUUGCUGUUGCGAUUUCCAAUGGAAGCACUCAGAGCUGUGUGUUUCUUGGUGCGGUGAUCAACGAUGGCCAACCACAAGCUGGUCCUCGGACAUGGGCAGAACCCAGAGCUGGUGCUGGGGCAGAAUCACCACAACUUCAAGCAGGACCAUUGGCUGGGCCUAGGGCAUAGCCAUGACUGGGAGAGUGCGUGCGGGCUAGCGGUCUAGCGGCCGCUAGCGAGCACCAUGGCGGGCGUGCGGAUGCAUGGAGCCGGCUUGUUUAUUUUUUUUUGGAUUUUUUUUUGGAGGAAGCAUCACUGCCAGUUGGAGCCAUGAACCGGUAGCGAUGCCUAUUUUCAGUGCCGAUUUCAGACUUGACACUGAUAGUCACUGAUGACAAGUAAUCAGUGAUGGUUCAAUACCCAUCAUCAUGGUGAUUUUGAACCGCCACUGAUGACAUGUUCUGUAGUAGUGGAUAGAUCAUCUUGAAGGCUCAACUAGUGUAUUUAAAAAUUAAAGAGAAAAAUAUCAAUGCAAGAUAGAAAUAUAUAUAACACCUCAGUGUACAUUUUUUAAGAUAGAUCGUCUAAAAAAAACCUAUUGGUAUAUUUAUGGAUGGACAAGAAAUAAAUAUUAAUGCGAUGCAGAACAAAAUGCAUUAGAUAUGCACUCCUAUUAAUUGGGAUAGAUUGCCUCAAAGGCUCAACUAGUGUAUUUACACAUCACAAAAGUAAAAACAUUAAUGCAAGAUAGGACAACAAGGUACUUGAAAUAUCAUCGACUAAUAUAUUUAUUGAUCAAGAAAAAUAUUAGUAUGGUAUAAAACAUAAUACAUUAGAUCUGAUUAUAAAUUGAGAUAGAUAUGAUGAUCUCAAGCCCAACUAGUGUAUUUAUGAACCAAGAAGGCAAACAUUGAUGCAAGAUAGAAUAAAAAGAUGCUAGGUGUACCUAUUAACUGAGAUUGAUCAUACGAAGACUCAAGUGCAACUAGAAUAUUUAUGAGAUGAGAGAAAAAUAUCAACAACAGAUAGAGUAAGAAGGCUCUAUAUGUGAGAUAUGUAAUAUAUAUGAAGCCUCAACUAGUGUAUUUAUGAACGAGGGCAGAAAACAUAUGCAAUAUAGAAUAAAAAGGGCAAAACAUGAUCAUGUAAUAUGAAGCCUCAACUACUGUAUGCAUGAAAGGGGCCAGAUAAGAUAUGCAAUAUAGAACAAAAAAGGCAAAAAAUGAUCAUGUAAUAUGAAGCCUCAACUAGUGGGGGCAGAAAAGAUAUGCAAUAUAGAAGAAAAAGGGCAAAAAAUGAUCAUCCAGGAUUAGCCUGGGCCUCUAUAUAAACACUAGCAAACAGAAACAAUGCUGCAGCAACACAUUGACCUGAAGAAGAACAACAAUACGGUAGAAGGAAAAUACUAUCUACUCGAAUAGCGUCGCCUCAUGGGCCUAACCAAGAACUCAAAAGUUGUGUGCCUGGUUGCUCUGAUUGUCAUGGCUACCAUCAAUUUCUCCUGCAGUCAUGCACGAAGCUCUGGUGAAGAAGUUGAUCGGUGGACGUGCUACGAUGAAGAAGAUGGUUGCGAGAUGGCUGCGUGUGCCAAAAAAUGCAUAAGCGAAUAUGGUUCCAAGAUUGACGGUGUCAAAUGCGAGACAUAUAUUAAACCUCAGCAUUGCUGUUGCCGACUUAAGGAACUACCACCAUAAAGAAAAAAAGAACUACCAGUGCCAUUGUCAAAAAUAAAUAAAAGCGACGGCUGAUAAUGAUGGAUCUUGCUUGA
Molecule: long non-coding RNA, 2006 nt
Organism: Phragmites australis (common reed)
Lineage: Eukaryota; Viridiplantae; Streptophyta; Magnoliopsida; Poales; Poaceae
Exons: 3
Source: RefSeq, a predicted model, not a curated record